GUACCUGUGGCAUAUGGAAGUUCCCAGGCUAGGGGUCGAAUGGGGGCUGUAGCGGCCAGUCUAUGGCACAGCCACAGCAAUGUGGGAUCCAAGCCAUGUCUGCAACCUACACCACAGCUCACGGCAACACCAGAUCCCUAACCCACGGAUCGAGGCCAGGGAUCGAACCCACAUCCUCAUGGAGACUAGUCAUUGGGUUCUUAACCUGCUGAGCCACAAUGGGAAUGUUUUUUUGAGGGAUGUUAUUUCAACCCACUGUGGAGGUUUUCAUAUAUGAGGGUUCAAAAAUAUGAAGACAACCAUGUUUGUGUAAAAAAGAAGAGUUUGCAGGCAUGACUCCUGGCUUCCCUCGAUCUUAUGCUCUCCCUCCAGCCAGGCCCUGAAGACAGCUCCCAAAUGCCCCUGGAGUAACCGUCUCAAUGGAAAAUUUGACCAGAGUUUUUUACACAGACCCUCCUAAGCAGACCAUAGACUGAAAAAACAGUGAGUACAUUGGGAGAAAAAAAAAUAAGUUGUCUGGUAGAAGAAUAGGAUUUCUAAGCCAUGUUUUCUUUCUUUUUCUUUUUUGGGCCACAUCUGCAGCAUAUGGAAGUUCCCAGGCUAGAGGUUGAAUCGGAGCUACAGCUGCCGGCUUAUGCCACUGCCACAGCCACACCAGAUCCCAGAUCCGAGCCACAUCUGCGACCUCCACCACAGCUCACGGCAACACUGGAUCCUUCACCCACUGAGCAAGGCCAGGGAUCCAACCCACAUCCUCACGGACACUCCAGGUUUUCAACCUUCAGAACAGUGGAUUUGUUUGUUUGUUGUUGUUGUUUCCAAUCAACUGGGCACCUGAUCUGUUCUCUCUCACCUCAUGCUUCUUAUUUAAAUGGAAACCAUGUCCUUCUCCUGGUAAAUGAGGUGACAUUUGAGCAGAUUCUGGUUCAGAGACCUAGACUCCCUGCUGUGUGAAGGCCCCUGCCCAUGAUUUCCUGAGGGGGGCCCCUGGAGACUGUAGGCUUCUUUGUCAGUGUGGACUUCCAGGGCCUUGGUCUGAAUUCUGGUCCCAUGAAUAGGGUGAUGGAUGCUUGGUGGGUCACAGACCAGCUCCACUCUUGACUUGAGGCCAGGCAGCGUGGGGCAGGGGUUCGCAAACUUGGUUGAUGAUCAGAAUCACCUGGAAGCUUUGACAUUUUAUUUAAAGAUGCAGCCUCCCAGCUCUCUCCCCAUCCUACCCAAUCAGAGUCAAUCAGAGUCAAUCAGAGUCUCCUGGGGGACUGAAGCAUGGGCUUUUCAGAUAGACCUGGAUCCACACCUUGGCUCUACUCCACCUCCCCGUGUGAGCUUGGAGGGGCCAGCCCACCUCGGACCUGGGCAGCCAGGGCAGUGGCACCUCCCCAGGUUGCUUGUGGGGGUCGGAGGUGAUGCUUGUCAAAGUGCUACGUUCAGUGGAAACCAUGUGAUUCAAAUACUGGUUAAUAAAUGGUAGCCGUUUACUCUGAGUUGUCUGAAAUGCCAUGUUUUUAUGUGGGGGAGGGAGGAUUUAUUCUAUGGAUUAAAAAAGAAAAGAAAGGCACAGGGUAAUCCAGCUGACUCUUAUUCCUAUCUGAUGGGAUGUAACUGCCCAACAUUUUCUGACUUUUCAUGAAGAAGCCUAUGUUUUGAGACAACAGCAGGAAUGAAUGAACCCAUACUUUCUGUGCCAGCAUCUGCCCAGUUUAGAACAAAAGGUGGUAAUGGCCAGGCUCCACCUUGCUGGAAAGGCUGGGAUGCGUCUUUGCAAAGAUGGUCCUUUCGGCAAAUCGUUAGAAAACCACGUGCUAAUGAGGAGGUGUUCCCCCCCAGCGCCACCCCACGGAGAACUUGACAGCCUUAGGAGGAAUGUGGCCUUUGGACUUGAUGGGAAGGGGCAAGAAUCGCACCCACUUUUCAGUGGUGGUCCUGGGUCUUCCUUUGGCAGGUGGCAGGUGAAAUGAAAUAAUCCAUGCAGAGCACUCAGCCCCGAACCUGGCACCCCCGGGACUCUCAAAGAAUGUCGGCUGCUGUCAUCGGGCCACCAUGGUCCAUCAUCUUCCCAGCCGCUCCAGUUUGAUUCCCUAGCUCUGAUUUGGGAAGCCAGGAGGCCCUGCCCUGCCUUGAGACCUUCUGGAACAUCCUAGGAUGUUCUGAGAGGGCCCACAAGUAAAACAGGCUGAGGACAAAGCAGAAACAGCCUCUGCUUUGGAGGGAGGUUUUCCCAAGCUGGUUUUUCUUUUUAUCUGAUGGGAAGGGCUGAGUUAAGAGGCAGCAGCAGGGGGACAGCACAAAUAAAUACAGAAAAACCUCUCCAGGGGCUGCUAUUGUGCUGAGUACAAUGACAGGCCCUGGAGUGUGUUUUUUAUCCAGUUGAGAUUGGAAAGUAAAAUAAAUGUGGUCACAUUACACCCUCGUCUGGAGUCCAGACUUGCUACAGGCCUCCCUCGAGCACCAUAGGAUGAAAGGGACACUUUUUAUCCGAGUCCUGGCUGGUGUUGGGGAGAAGGGAAUUUAGGGUAUGGAGGCGGGGCCUCAAAGUUGGGGCUGGGAUCCCCUGAAGCCCUGGGCACUGGUUCUUCCACCACCCCGGGCUUUCUCAAAGCUGCUAACACCAAGUCCCCACCCUUCCCAGGGCUUUCCUGCCAACAAUGGGCCAGUCCAGCAGGGCAGGGCUGGUGACACACCCAGGCGAAGCUGUUUGACUCUGCAAGGAGGAGGAGCCCCUUUCUAGCAACAGGAGGCCUCCGGGGUAGGUGGUGGGGUGGGGCGGGGGUGGGGGUGUUGUUAGUUAGAACUGGUGGCUUUCUCAAGCUGAGGGAAUGUCCCCAAAUACUGUAAAGCUCCUGCUGCCUUUGGUUGCUUUGAAAUGAGUCAUACAAUUGGAAAGCUCUUUCUGGAACCAAAGCCAUCUUUCAUGGGAAUGAGUCUCAACUCUUCUGCGGCUGGUGUUUCCAACUUUCCCCGAGGAGGCUAGGGAAAUCCUCCCCACCCAGAAAACAUCAGGGCUCUGUGAAAUAAGCCAGGGAAUAUGCUUAGCUCAGAACGGGGCAUCUAGUAAGUCCUGAUCAUAUAGCAGCAGCUUUAUUAAUAAAAGCUCAUGUUUGAGGGCUCAUUUUGUGUCGUGUCAGGUUCUACAUGAUUCUCACAAUAACUCUUGGAGGUAGGUAUUAUUAUCAUCAUCAUCAUCAUCAUUCCUAUUUUACAGAUGUGGAAACUGAGGCUUAAAGAAGUUAGACAAAUCAUCACUAUUACACAGCUGAUGACUGGUGGAGCUGGAACUCAAGCCCAGGGAGUUUGAUGCUACAGCCCGCACUCAAUGGCCAUGUCAUACUGUUAUUAUUACCAUUAAUUAGUUACUCUUAAUUAGCAUGUCUUCAGGAGAUCUCAGUCUUAGACAGCUAUUGGACAAAGAGAGUGCCAUUAUUGAAGCAUAUAAGAGACGUUGUGGGGAGUUCCCAUCGUGGCUCAGCUGUCAAUGAACCCGACUAGGAACCAUGAGGUUUGCGGAUUCAAUCCCUGGCCUCACUCAGGGGGUUAAGGAUCUGGCAUUGCUGUGGCUGUGGCGUAGGCCGGUGGCUACAGCUCCAAUGUGACCCCCUAGCCUGAGAACCUCCAUAUGCCACGGGUGUGGCCCUAAAAAGCAAAAAAAAAAAAAAAAGAAAAAGACUAGAAGGAGGGAAAAAGCACAGAACGAAAACUGAAAUGCUUACAUGAUUCAACUAUUGAAAAUAGUGGCAGACCUUGUCCAAGCACCAGAAAGCCUCAUUACCCACUAUCACCUGUAAAUAUAGCACUUUUCUUGGUCUGAGUACUCUACGUGGCUUCACAACUCCCUAUGACAGCCAGAGCAGGUAGUCAUUCCUAAUUUACUGAUGGGGAAACAGCUUCAGGGAGUGUUUGGGAUUCUUCAAGUCUAAGUGGCUAAUUACCCUUAAUAAAGAUUGCUCGUGUUUCCUGAGCAAUGACUCUACGCGGGGUCCCAUGCUGUGCGCCACAUGUAUUAUAAUUUAGCAACAAUCUUCUGAUGGGUCUUAUUAUUUUGUCUAUUUCAAAGAUGAGCACAAUGAGACGGAAAAGAGGGUGAAUAACUGGCCCUAAGACAUGCAGCUGCGGGCGCCCGCUAACUGCUAUUCGUAACCACAUCUUGGUGAUACUGAUGGGGCUCAUGGCCAAACGGAGGGGUCUGGCCAGUCUCCCAUUUAGAACUCUGCUGUACAGGGCACCCCAGGAGACUUAAAUCCAGAGGGAUGCAGUCCUCGCCUUCACAGAAUCACGGGCAGUGGGACACAGGGGGAUAGCAGGGGAUUUGAAGUGGGACAGACCUGGGUAAUCCCAGGCUCGAUGCUCCCUGAACACUCAGGCAUCUUUAAUUAGCCUCUGAGAGCUUUGGUUUCCUGCUUGUAGGGCUGGGCUGAGGGGUCUAGUUAAGGUUGACAUAAAGCACGCAAGAGCAAGAUCUCACUACAGCUCAGCCAAGGAGCAGAGAGACAGGCAAAACCAGCAGUAUUAGGCAACACUUAAAAAGUGUCAAAUGUGAUGUUCCCCCGUAGGCAUGCGAAGAAUUUACUGGGGCAGGCUGGGCUGGGCCCAUCCAGGCGGGAUCUGAGAGAGGGCAGGAACUCAGGCUCCUCUUUGAUUGGGGGCAAAUGGAGCCCAUGGGAAAUUCACGCGGAAACUCGAAAGAGCUGAGGGCCCCUGAUUUGAGGCAGCACCCUUACCUCGACUCCUCAGGGCCAGGUCCUCUCCUCUCUCCACCUCCUGGAAGAGCUGGGCAGUGUCCAGGAGGGAUGCUGCGGGGGAAGCUGCAGAGGCGGGGGAGGGCACGGUGGGUUCGGGGGACUCAGGGUGCUUUGCAGGAGCUG
RNAcentral lists this long non-coding RNA (4859 nucleotides) under Sus scrofa (pig). RNAcentral describes it as "lncRNA (ENSSSCG00000054327.1)". Lineage: Eukaryota; Metazoa; Chordata; Mammalia; Artiodactyla; Suidae. The record is from RNAcentral.